AGUGGGGAAUAUUGCACAAUGGGCGAAAGCCUGAUGCAGCAAUACCGCGUGGAGGAUGACGCAUUUCGGUGUGUAAACUCCUUUUUUAUGAGAAGAAAUUUGACGGUAUCAUAAGAAUAAGCUCCGGCUAACUCCGUGCCAGCAGCCGCGGUAAUACGGAGGGAGCAAGCGUUACUCGGAAUCACUGGGCGUAAAGGGUGCGUAGGCGGUUUAGUAAGUCAGAAGUGAAAUCCCAUAGCUUAACUAUGGAACUGCUUUUGAAACUACUAAACUAGAGUGAGGGAGAGGUAGAUGGAAUUAGUGGUGUAGGGGUAAAAUCCGUAGAGAUCACUAGGAAUACCGAAAGCGAAGGCGAUCUACUGGAACUCAACUGACGCUAAGGCACGAAAGUGUGGGGAGCAAACAGGAUUAGAUACCCUGGUAGUCCACACCCUAAACGAUGUUCACUAGUCGUCGGAAAGCUCGACUUUUCGGUGAUGCACUUAACAGAUUAAGUGAACCGCCUGGGGAGUACGGUCGCAAGAUUAAAACUCAAAGGAAUAGACGGGGACCCGCACAAGCGGUGGAGCAUGUGGUUUAAUUCGACGAUACGCGAAGAACCUUACCUAGCCUUGACAUACCAAAAAGAUUUCAGAGAUGAGAUUGUGCCUGCUUGCAGGAAUUUGGAUACAGGUGCUGCACGGCUGUCGUCAGCUCGUGUCGUGAGAUGUUGGGUUAAGUCCCGCAACGAGCGCAACCCUCGUCCUUAGUUGCUAACAGUUCGGCUGAGCACUCUAAGGAGACUGCCUUCGUAAGGAGGAGGAAGGUGAGGACGACGUCAAGUCAUCAUGGCCCUUAUGGCUAGGGCUACACACGUGCUACAAUGGAUAAGACAAAUAGUCGCAAUACCGCGAGGUGGAGCAAAUCUAUAAACUUAUUCUCAGUUCGGAUAGCAGUCUGCAACUCGACUGCUUGAAGCUGGAAUCGCUAGUAAUCGUAAAUCAGCAAUGUUACGGUGAAUACGU
RNAcentral lists this ribosomal RNA (1004 nucleotides) under uncultured bacterium. RNAcentral describes it as "bacterial SSU rRNA". It matches the Rfam family "Bacterial small subunit ribosomal RNA", at positions 353 to 1371 of the family's 1533-position model. The record is from RNAcentral.